This 433-nucleotide ribosomal RNA is filed under the name uncultured Lachnospiraceae bacterium. Its description in RNAcentral is "partial 16S ribosomal RNA". It matches the Rfam family "Bacterial small subunit ribosomal RNA", at positions 341 to 792 of the family's 1533-position model. The record is from RNAcentral. Lineage: Bacteria; Bacillati; Bacillota; Clostridia; Lachnospirales; Lachnospiraceae.
ACGGAAGGCAGCAGUGGGGAAUAUUGCACAAUGGGGGAAACCCUGAUGCAGCGACGCCGCGUGAGCGAAGAAGUAUUUCGGUAUGUAAAGCUCUAUCAGCAGGGAAGAAAUGACGGUACCUGACUAAGAAGCCCCGGCUAACUACGUGCCAGCAGCCGCGGUAAUACGUAGGGGGCAAGCGUUAUCCGGAUUUACUGGGUGUAAAGGGAGCGCAGACGGCAAGGCAAGUCUGAAGUGAAAUUCCAUGGCUCAACCGUGGAACUGCUUUGGAAACUGUUUAGCUAGAGUAUCGGAGGGGUAAGCGGAAUUCCUAGUGUAGCGGUGAAAUGCGUAGAUAUUAGGAGGAACACCGGUGGCGAAGGCGGCUUACUGGACGAUAACUGACGUUGAGGCUCGAAAGCGUGGGGAGCAAACAGGAUUAGAUACCCUGGUA